This 583-nucleotide ribosomal RNA is filed under the name Cytospora schulzeri. RNAcentral's name for it is "partial 28S ribosomal RNA". It matches the Rfam family "Eukaryotic large subunit ribosomal RNA", at positions 51 to 657 of the family's 3401-position model. RNAcentral also lists the same sequence under 1 other name. Lineage: Eukaryota; Fungi; Ascomycota; Sordariomycetes; Diaporthales; Cytosporaceae. The record is from RNAcentral.
CGGAGGAAAAGAAACCAACAGGGAUUGCCCUAGUAACGGCGAGUGAAGCGGCAACAGCUCAAAUUUGAAAGCUGGCUCCGGCCCGCAUUGUAAUUUGCAGAGGAUGCUUCUGGUGAGGUGCCUUCCGAGUUCCCUGGAACGGGACGCCAUAGAGGGUGAGAGCCCCGUAUGGAUGGACACCAAACCUGUGUGAAGCUCCUUCAACGAGUCGAGUAGUUUGGGAAUGCUGCUCUAAAUGGGAGGUAAAUCUCUUCUAAAGCUAAAUACCGGCCAGAGACCGAUAGCGCACAAGUAGAGUGAUCGAAAGAUGAAAAGCACCUUGAAAAGGGGGUUAAACAGUACGUGAAAUUGUUGAAAGGGAAGCGCUUGUGACCAGACUUGCGCCGGGCAGCUCAUCAGGGGUUCUCCCCUGUGCACUCUGCCCGGCUCAGGCCAGCAUCGGUUCUCGUGGGAGGAUAAGAACGGUAGGAACGUGGCCCCCUUCCGGGGGGGUGUUAUAGCCUACCGUACGAUACUCCCGUGGGGACCGAGGUUCGCGCUCCGCAAGGAUGCUGGCGUAAUGGUCAUCAGCGACCCGUCUUGA